This 429-nucleotide ribosomal RNA is filed under the name Pseudomonadota bacterium. RNAcentral's name for it is "Proteobacteria bacterium partial 16S ribosomal RNA". It matches the Rfam family "Bacterial small subunit ribosomal RNA", at positions 355 to 776 of the family's 1533-position model. Lineage: Bacteria; Pseudomonadati; Pseudomonadota. The record is from RNAcentral.
UGGGGAAUAUUGGACAAUGGGCGAAAGCCUGAUCCAGCCAUGCCGCGUGUGUGAAGAAGGUCUUCGGAUUGUAAAGCACUUUAAGUUGGGAGGAAGGGCAGUAAGCGAAUACCUUGCUGUUUUGACGUUACCGACAGAAUAAGCACCGGCUAACUCUGUGCCAGCAGCCGCGGUAAUACAGAGGGUGCAAGCGUUAAUCGGAAUUACUGGGCGUAAAGCGCGCGUAGGUGGUUCGUUAAGUUGAAUGUGAAAGCCCCGGGCUCAACCUAGGAACUGCAUCCAAAACGGGCGAGCUAGAGUAGGGCAGAGUGUGGUGGAAUUUCCUGUGUAGCCGUGAAUUGCGUAGAUAUAUGAAGAAACACCAGUUGCGAAGGCGACCACCUGGGCUCAUACUGACACUGAGGUGCGAAAGCGUGGGGAGCAAACAGG